Non-coding RNA from Pelobates cultripes (western spadefoot toad), 401 nucleotides. NCBI's taxonomy places the organism in Eukaryota, Metazoa, Chordata, Amphibia, Anura, Pelobatidae. The record is from the annotation of a GenBank genome assembly.
GGGUCCCCUGACCUCGGCUAGCACCUUGACUAUUCUUUGGUACGUUAGUCCAGCCAUUCUAAGGCCCGGUAAUACGUUACCUAUUAGUCAUCUGUGUAACACAAUUCUACGUGCUGGAUCAUAUAGUAAUCCUGACAGUUCUAUACCACUCGCUGGCGUUCAGGCAUGGCUCCUUAAGGAUGGAAUAGAACGCCCGCCAUCCUUAAGUGGUUAAAGCCAGUAGCCAAGCUGAAAGCAUUCACUAACUUUAUAAAUUUGGUAUUUUGGCUCUACAUUUAUGCAGUUCUCAUGCAAAAUCCUACCAGUCUGUGGUAUCAACAAAACACACACUUAAAGGACCACUCUAGGCACCCAGACCACUUCAGCUUAAUGAAGUGGUCUGGGUGCCAGGUCCAGCUAGG